AAUAGAUACCCGGGUAGUCCACGCCGUAAACGAUGAGUGCUAAGUGUUAGAGGGUUUCCGCCCUUUAGUGCUGCAGCAAACGCAUUAAGCACUCCGCCUGGGGAGUACGGUCGCAAGACUGAAACUCAAAGGGAAUUGACGGGGGCCCGCACAAGCGGUGGAGCAUGUGGUUUAAUUCGAAGCAACGCGAAGAACCUUACCAGGUCUUGACAUCCUCUGACACUCCUAGAGAUAGGACUUUCCCCUUCGGGGGGACAGAGUGACAGGUGGUGCAUGGUUGUCGUCAGCUCGUGUCGUGAGAUGUUGGGUUAAGUCCCGCAACGAGCGCAACCCUUGAUCUUAGUUGCCAGCAUUUAGUUGGACACUCUAAGGUGACUGCCGGUGGCAAACCGGGAGGAAGGUGGGGAUGACGUCAAAUCAUCAUGCCCCUUAUGACCUGGGCUACACACGUGCUACAAUGGAUGGUACAAAGGGCAGCGAAACCGCGAGGUUAAGCCAAGUCCCAUAAAACCAUUCUCAGUUCGGAUUGCAGG
RNAcentral lists this ribosomal RNA (533 nucleotides) under uncultured bacterium. RNAcentral's name for it is "bacterial SSU rRNA". It matches the Rfam family "Bacterial small subunit ribosomal RNA", at positions 777 to 1304 of the family's 1533-position model. The record is from RNAcentral.